RNAcentral lists this ribosomal RNA (429 nucleotides) under Chloroflexota bacterium. Its description in RNAcentral is "Chloroflexi bacterium partial 16S ribosomal RNA". It matches the Rfam family "Bacterial small subunit ribosomal RNA", at positions 355 to 776 of the family's 1533-position model. The record is from RNAcentral. Lineage: Bacteria; Bacillati; Chloroflexota.
UGGGGAAUAUUGCACAAUGGGCGCAAGCCUGAUGCAGCCAUGCCGCGUGUGUGAAGAAGGCCUUCGGGUUGUAAAGCACUUUCAGCGGGGAGGAAGGCGGUGAGGUUAAUAACCUCACCGAUUGACGUUACCCGCAGAAGAAGCACCGGCUAACUCCGUGUCAGCAGCCGCGGUAAUACGGAGGGUGCAAGCGUUAAUCGGAAUUACUGGGCGUAAAGCGCACGCAGGCGGUCUGUCAAGUCGGAUGUGAAAUCCCCGGGCUCAACCUGGGAACUGCAUUCGAAACUGGCAGGCUAGAGUCUUGUAGAGGGGGGUAGAAUUCCAGGUGUAGCGGUGAAAUGCGUAGAGAUCUGGAGGAAUACCGGUGGCGAAGGCGGCCCCCUGGACAAAGACUGACGCUCAGGUGCGAAAGCGUGGGGAGCAAACAGG